UCUAAGGUAAGCUAAAAUUUAAAGCUGCUGGGCUCAUAACCCAAAAAUGGCGGAAGCCCCAUAGAA
RNAcentral lists this transfer RNA (66 nucleotides) under Ovatella vulcani. RNAcentral describes it as "tRNA-Met". Lineage: Eukaryota; Metazoa; Mollusca; Gastropoda; Ellobiida; Ellobiidae. The record is from RNAcentral.